AGCAGCCGCGGUAAUUCCAGCUCCAAUAGCGUAUAUUAAAGUUGUUGCAGUUAAAAAGCUCGUAGUUGAAUUUCGGGAUCAGACUGUCGGUCGUGCCUCGGUACGCACUGGCAUUAUUGGUUCCUACCUUCUGAAGAACCGCGAUGUCAUUAAUUUGGUGUCGUGGGGAAUCAGGACUGUUACUUUGAAAAAAUUAGAGUGUUUAAAGCAGGCGCACGCUUGAAUACAUUAGCAUGGAAUAAUGAAAUAGGACGUUUGAUUCUAUUUUGUUGGUUUCUAGGAUCGACGUAAUGAUUAAUAGGGAUAGUUGGGGGCAUUAGUAUUCAAUUGUCAGAGGUGAAAUUCUUGGAUUUAUUGAAGACUAACUACUGCGAAAGCAUUUGCCAAGGAUGUUUUCAUUAAUCAAGAACGAAAGUUAGGGGAUCGAAGACGAUCAGAUACCGUCGUAGUCUUAACCAUAAACUAUGCCGACUAGGGAUCGGAUGAUGUUAAUUUUAUAAUGACUCAUUCGGCGCCUUACG
RNAcentral lists this ribosomal RNA (521 nucleotides) under uncultured Glomeraceae. RNAcentral's name for it is "SSU rRNA". It matches the Rfam family "Eukaryotic small subunit ribosomal RNA", at positions 569 to 1092 of the family's 1831-position model. The record is from RNAcentral. Lineage: Eukaryota; Fungi; Glomeromycota; Glomeromycetes; Glomerales; Glomeraceae.